RNAcentral lists this ribosomal RNA (712 nucleotides) under uncultured bacterium. RNAcentral describes it as "bacterial SSU rRNA". It matches the Rfam family "Bacterial small subunit ribosomal RNA", at positions 56 to 755 of the family's 1533-position model. The record is from RNAcentral.
UGCAAGUCGAACGGCAGCACAGUAAGAGCUUGCUCUUAUGGGUGGCGAGUGGCGGACGGGUGAGGAAUACAUCGGAAUCUACCUUUUCGUGGGGGAUAACGUAGGGAAACUUACGCUAAUACCGCAUACGACCUUCGGGUGAAAGCAGGGGACCUUCGGGCCUUGCGCGGAUAGAUGAGCCGAUGUCGGAUUAGCUAGUUGGCGGGGUAAAGGCCCACCAAGGCGACGAUCCGUAGCUGGUCUGAGAGGAUGAUCAGCCACACUGGAACUGAGACACGGUCCAGACUCCUACGGGAGGCAGCAGUGGGGAAUAUUGGACAAUGGGCGCAAGCCUGAUCCAGCCAUACCGCGUGGGUGAAGAAGGCCUUCGGGUUGUAAAGCCCUUUUGUUGGGAAAGAAAAGCAGUCGGCUAAUACCCGGUUGUUCUGACGGUACCCAAAGAAUAAGCACCGGCUAACUUCGUGCCAGCAGCCGCGGUAAUACGAAGGGUGCAAGCGUUACUCGGAAUUACUGGGCGUAAAGCGUGCGUAGGUGGUUGUUUAAGUCUGUUGUGAAAGCCCUGGGCUCAACCUGGGAAUUGCAGUGGAUACUGGGCGACUAGAGUGUGGUAGAGGGUAGUGGAAUUCCCGGUGUAGCAGUGAAAUGCGUAGAGAUCGGGAGGAACAUCCAUGGCGAAGGCAGCUACCUGGACCAACACUGACACUGAGGCACG